UCUGGGGAAAAAAGGCUCCAUUUUGAGAAGCCUUUUCUGCCUUCUAGACUGAAGAAGAAACAAUUUAGAUGUGCUUGUGUGGCCAAGCCAGGCCAACUCUGUAAAGGCUGUCGCUCUGCUUGAGUGCUGAAAGAGAUCUCAUUCCUGAAACUCCAGAAUGAUUUUAAAUGAAGCCACACUGUUGGUGCCUUGGGUUUCAAAACAGCAUACAAUUUGUCGAGGAUAGUAAUCGCAAAACAGUGGAAAGGUGAGAAAGCCCCAACGAAAGAUGCCUGGCUGACCAAAUUGACUGAAAUAAAGGAUAUGGACAAACUUAUCUUCUUAAUGAGAAAGAGCAACGGAAGAGCUAUAAGAGCCACGGACUGGUCAAAUUUUGAAGACUACCUUAAGAAAAGAUGAUAAGAACUAUCUAAUUGGAACAUAAAUGAUUAGUAACAAAGAUCGGAAGUCAAACCCCACCCCCCAUUCCUAGGGUAUAUCCCCUCUCACAAUUCCUAAUCCAGACACACUUUCCCUCCCCCUGCCCUUCCUUCCCUGUUCCCCUGCCGUAUGUCGUGUUAUGUUUUAUGUUUGAUGUUUUAUGUUUUAAAAGAAACUUCUCAAUAAAAAUGAUACAACAAGAAAUAGUCCCCCCCCCCCCAAUUCACAGUAAAUUUUUUACAGACCAGUCUCAUCUUUAUUAAUUUUUUUACUUCACAUAUAUAGCUUUUUCAUGGUGACUUUGCAUUGACUUCAGUGAAGGAGACAUUGGGACCCUUUGCAACAAAUUCAAAAUACAUCUACACAUGGGUCACAUGGAAAGGCUUAUCUAAGGGUGUGGAAUUAAUGGUAUUUGACACUACUUUAACAGCCUUGGCUCAAUGCUAUGGAAUCCUGGGAAAUGCAAUUUAGUGAGGCAUUAGCACUCUCUGCCACAGAAGACUCAAGACCCUUAAAAAUACAACUUCCAUUAUUCCAUAUCAUUGAGCAAUGAAAGUUAAAGUGAAGUAAAAUGCAUUAAUUUUUCAGUUAGAUAGUUAGAUGCACCCUAUGAAUCUCUUUAAAGGAGCAACAUAUGUUUCCCUCUUCCAAUGAUAAAAUUAAAUACCACACACAUAUACAUAUGCAAGAGACAACCCCUUUUGAUCAUGAGGUCUAGUUGCCAAAGACAUAACUGUUGUGUAAAUAUUGCAAAAAUUACCUGCUCCAUAGCUAAAAUAGGAAGUGUCAGAUAUGACUAGGCCACAGGCAGUUCCUGUGUCUCAUAAAACCAUGCAAAUUGAGAGUCAGGCAGUGAUAGGUGGGGUGAAAAAUGUAAUAUUUGUUUCCUUUGAAAUGCCUGCUUCGUUUUCCAUUAUGAAGAUUGAUUGCAUCUUAUGUGUUGCAUUCCCCAACAUCUGCUGCUUCAGGCAAGGUGUAGCCAAACUGAAAUUCCACCAGUAUUUUUGAAUGAAGAGACAGAGUGAAAAUUAAUUUACUCUCUCUGUGCUGAGUACAGCCCUUCCCUUCAGUAAACUGACAGCAGAUAUUCCUCCCUUGCCUCAGGCAGCAGGGUCUAGACCUGAUGUUGUGCCAUAUCCUUUUUUUAAUAAAAAAAAAGUUUAUUCUGGGAGCAGCUAGCAAAGCCAAACUGAAAGACCACACUAGACAUAGGUGCAAACUGAAGUCAUAGGAAGAAUUCAUAUUUCACUCAAAAAUAAAUUCAAGAACUUACUGUGUGCAGGUGAUUGGAAUAGUCAUCGGAACACAAUGCAAUUGGGAUGAGAACUAAAUGAGAAAAUACAUUUUUAUUAAUAUCUUGGUAUUUUCUGCCCUUCCUGAAAGUAUGCCUCUGGCACUAAAUUCUUGCUUAGUAACUUUUGACCAGGCACUAAUAUAUUCCAAACCUUUGUCUUGAGUGACAAAUUUUGAUUCAAAAGGGGAAAUC
Molecule: long non-coding RNA, 1906 nt
Organism: Anolis carolinensis (green anole)
Lineage: Eukaryota; Metazoa; Chordata; Lepidosauria; Squamata; Anolidae
Exons: 3
Source: RefSeq, a predicted model, not a curated record